This is a non-coding RNA of Mycena filopes, 84 nucleotides long. NCBI's taxonomy places the organism in Eukaryota, Fungi, Basidiomycota, Agaricomycetes, Agaricales, Mycenaceae. The record is from the annotation of a GenBank genome assembly.
GCCCAUGUGGUGUAGUGGUAACAUGGUCUUCAAUCGUCUUUGAAACGUUGUUGGUAGCUCCUCGUUCGAACCGGGGCAUGGGCC